CUAGUAACGGCGAGUGAAGCGGGAAGAGCUCAAAUUUGUAAUCUGGUGGACUCAGUCCAUCCGAGUUGUAAUCUAUAGAAGUGUUUUCCGCGCCGGACCGUGUCUAAGUCCCUUGGAACAGGGUGUCAGAGAGGGUGAGAAUCCCGUGCUUGAUACGACCACCGGUGCUAUGUGAUACACUUUCAACGAGUCGAGUUGUUUGGGAAUGCAGCUCAAAAUGGGUGGUAAAUUCCAUCUAAAGCUAAAUAUUGGCGAGAGACCGAUAGCGAACAAGUACCGUGAGGGAAAGAUGAAAAGCACUUUGGAAAGAGAGUUAAACAGUACGUGAAAUUGUUGAAAGGGAAACGAUUGAAGUCAGUCGUGCGCGCUGGGACUCAGCCGGUUCUGCCGGUGUACUUCCCAGUGUGCGGGUCAACAUCAGUUUAGAUCGCUGGAUAAGGGCAUUAGGAACGUGGCUCCCUCGGGAGUGUUAUAGCCUAGUGCCGCAUACAGUGGUUCAGACUGAGGAACGCAGCUCGCCUUUAUGGCCGGGGUUCGCCCAC
RNAcentral lists this ribosomal RNA (542 nucleotides) under Holtermannia corniformis. RNAcentral describes it as "eukaryotic LSU rRNA". It matches the Rfam family "Eukaryotic large subunit ribosomal RNA", at positions 80 to 634 of the family's 3401-position model. Lineage: Eukaryota; Fungi; Basidiomycota; Tremellomycetes; Holtermanniales. The record is from RNAcentral.